Molecule: ribosomal RNA, 832 nt
Filed under: Resinicium bicolor
Lineage: Eukaryota; Fungi; Basidiomycota; Agaricomycetes; Hymenochaetales
Description: LSU rRNA
Rfam family: Eukaryotic large subunit ribosomal RNA
Source: RNAcentral
AUUCCCCUAGUAACUGCGAGUGAAGAGGGAAAAGCUCAAAUUUAAAAUCUGGCAGCUUUGGCUGUCCGAGUUGUAAUCUGGAGAAGUGUUUUCAGUGCAGGACCGUGUACAAGUCUCUUGGAAUGGAGCAUCAUAGAGGGUGAGAAUCCCGUCUUUGACACGGACUACCUGUGCUUUGUGAUACACUCUCAAAGAGUCGAGUUGUUUGGGAAUGCAGCUCAAAAUGGGUGGUAAAUUCCAUCUAAAGCUAAAUAUUGGCGAGAGACCGAUAGCGAACAAGUACCGUGAGGGAAAGAUGAAAAGCACUUUGGAAAGAGAGUUAAACAGUACGUGAAAUUGUUGAAAGGGAAACGCUUGGAGUCAGUCGCGUUUGUUAGAACUCAGCUUGGCUUCUGCUUAGUGUACUUUCUAAUGAACGGGCCAACAUCGAUUUCAGUCAGUGGAUAAGGGUAAGAGGAAUGUGGCACCUUCGGGUGUGUUAUAGCCUCUUAUCGUAUACAUUUACUGGGAUCGAGGUCUGCAGCACUUGUGCUUAGGAUGUUGGCAUAAUGGCUUUAAUCGACCCGUCUUGAAACACGGACCAAGGAGUCUAACAUGCCCGCGAGUGUUAGGGUGGUAAACCCUUGCGCGUAAUGAAAGUGAAAGUUGGGACCUCUGUCAUGGGGGGCACCGACGCCCGGUCCAGAACUUCUGUGACGGUACUGCGGUAGAGCGUGUAUGUUGGGACCCGAAAGAUGGUGAACUAUGCCUGAAUAGGGUGAAGCCAGAGGAAACUCUGGUGGAGGCUSGUAGCGAUUCUGACGUGCAAAUCGAUCGUCAAAUUUGGGUAUAA